Molecule: unclassified non-coding RNA, 293 nt
Filed under: Hevea brasiliensis (rubber tree)
Lineage: Eukaryota; Viridiplantae; Streptophyta; Magnoliopsida; Malpighiales; Euphorbiaceae
Source: RNAcentral
GUGUGUGUGUGUGUGUGUGUAUUAGAAACAAUCCUUUUGUACAAAUCCCACAAUUACAGAUGAAAACGGCAAAGCAGCGUGACUCUAGAGGGUGAAUAAAGGAGAGGUUAGAUAUCAUAGGUAGAUACGUAAAUUUGUCUGUCGGUUUUCAUUUGAUGUAGCAUUGCACUCGGAAAAAAUCUUGUGCAUAUUUCUCUAAUAUUUUACCUAGUUUGCAUGUGCAUGUCUUCUGGCAAGCAAAUCAAUUGGGUGGCUAUUGUCAUUAAUUGCUCAAAUGAUAAGGUAAUGAUCUU